This 1069-nucleotide long non-coding RNA is filed under the name Marmota monax (woodchuck). The record is from RNAcentral. Lineage: Eukaryota; Metazoa; Chordata; Mammalia; Rodentia; Sciuridae.
ACUGGCCUCAGGUUGUCACUCUUUUUCAAUUUGUUUGGUUUAGUCAAUGCCUUUCUAUCUCAGAGAGCAUGCAGGAGAUGCCAGAGAAACAGUGAAUGAGUGAAUGUCAGUUUGGGUUCUUGUGACAAGUGCCAGGAAGAGGUGUUAGUGGAACAUGGAGGGGGCACCUCAUGGUCCCCACAUGGGGUAUGAAGAGUUUUGGAAGCUUCUAGAAGGAGGUAAUGACUUGACUGGAGCUUGAAACUUGAGUUGCAACUAGAACACACAGGAUGGGUCUUGGUGGGAGGCUCUGCAUAAACAAAGGCAUGUAGGUGAUCCCCAGCCCCCGACAACUUCAGAAACCUGGGUUCAAGGACUAAUGGUGAAGCCCUCUGCCCCUAGCCCCAUAACCUCAGGUGCCUUUGAGGCAGUCAAGGUGGCAACAUCCAUCCUCUGCUCACCCCCCUUACUCCAGUGGUUACCAUGGAGCAUUUGAUUCACCUGUCAUUUGCCCCACUAUCCCACAGUGAGAUUUAUUUUUAAGUCACCUUCAAAGUCCUCCAGGCUUCCUGAUUUAGUCACCCUGUCCUCUGUGACUCUCUUGUAGAGGUAAAAUUGAGGUCCCUGGAGGACUCCAGCCCAUGAAACUCACUCGCUCAGCCUCAUUUACCCCAUUUUCGUUGCUAUUCCACUCUCCCCACCAAGUGGCAGAGGCAUCUGUUUUGGUGCUUGAGUUCUUUGCACCAGGAGUUUAGAAUAGACUUGUUUAUGUAGAAGAAAUCCAACACCUAAUGUUUCUUCCCAUGUUCCUGGUCUUUGACAAAACAAUUCUAAUUGGAUAAUAGUGUAAUAUUUCAGGGACCUAUUUAAAGACAGUUUUUUUUUCCUUUUAUUCUAGCAUAUACAGACUCCAUGCUCUAUUAAAUCUUUUUACCCCCUUGGUCACAGGUUCAUUGUUACAAGAAGGGCAGUCAGUGAAAAUUCUUUCUAGGGAGAUAUUAUGGGCUUAAUAUUUUCCAUACUUACAGAUUACAACAGAGAUUCCCUAAACAUUUUGCGUCUUCUGUGUAAGGCAUCUCAUUAUCUGGAC